GUGGGGAAUAUUGGACAAUGGGGGGAACCCUGAUCCAGCCAUGCCGCGUGUGUGAAGAAGGCCUUUUGGUUGUAAAGCACUUUAAGCGAGGAGGAGGCGCCCUAGAUUAAUACUCUAGGAGCGUGGACGUUACUCGCAGAAUAAGCACCGGCUAACUCUGUGCCAGCAGCCGCGGUAAUACAGAGGGUGCAAGCGUUAAUCGGAUUUACUGGGCGUAAAGCGCGCGUAGGUGGCCAAUUAAGUCAAAUGUGAAAUCCCCGAGCUUAACUUGGGAAUUGCAUUCGAUACUGGUUGGCUAGAGUAUGGGAGAGGAUGGUAGAAUUCCAGGUGUAGCGGUGAAAUGCGUAGAGAUCUGGAGGAAUACCGAUGGCGAAGGCAGCCAUCUGGCCUAAUACUGACACUGAGGUGCGAAAGCAUGGGGAGCAAACAGGAUUAGAAACCCGGGUAGUCC
RNAcentral lists this ribosomal RNA (451 nucleotides) under uncultured bacterium. Its description in RNAcentral is "bacterial SSU rRNA". It matches the Rfam family "Bacterial small subunit ribosomal RNA", at positions 354 to 796 of the family's 1533-position model. The record is from RNAcentral.